CGUGAGGAACUAGUUGGAUCAGCUCAAAGACAUAUCCUUCCAGAUGGUGGAUGUGCUGGACGAGUGGAACACCGAGAUGCUGAGACAGCAGGUUAAGAAGCAAGAACGGGAAGGAGAAAAUGCUGAUGUUCUUGUUCCUAACAAGAAGAAGAAGGAGAGCUGGGUAAUGUGGAUCAAGUGGUGACUCGCGAGCUAGGCAUAUAGAUUAAUCUUCUUUGGAAAGGUAAUCAUUCGUCCGUACGUACCAAAUUCGAUAUCAAAUUUCCACGGCGCAUGGAUUUGCUUAUCUUAGUUGUGCAAGUUUUCGCACAACAUACGGAAGAAAGGAGCGUCAGUUGAACUCACCUUCUAGUUUCUCGUAAGGGAUUCUGCCGAAUCAAAAGGCGUGAUGUCGACCAUCAACGUCCCCUCCUAAAGUUUCAACUGAACUUCUGAUCAUCUUCACCAAUGCCGUGAGAACUUGUAGGCAUUGGAAAGUGAUUUGUCAAAGCAUUCCUCUGUUGACUCCUCAUUGCUUGGACCUGCGCUUAAUGAUCCUU
This 539-nucleotide small RNA is filed under the name Malus domestica (apple). RNAcentral's name for it is "sRNA MD15G0047500". Lineage: Eukaryota; Viridiplantae; Streptophyta; Magnoliopsida; Rosales; Rosaceae. The record is from RNAcentral.